This 263-nucleotide unclassified non-coding RNA is filed under the name plant metagenome. RNAcentral's name for it is "partial contains small subunit ribosomal RNA, internal transcribed spacer 1, and 5.8S ribosomal RNA". The record is from RNAcentral.
UUUCCGUAGGUGAACCUCCGGAAGGAUCAUUAUUGUAUAACCGAGGUGCGAGGGCUGUCGCUGACCCGAAAGGUCGUGCACGCCCGAGUGCCCUCACACACAUCCAUCUCACCCCUAUGUGCACCACCGCGUGGGUCCCCCUUUGGCUUGUUCGGAGGGGGGCUUACGUUUUCACACAAACUUUGUAUGCAGUGUAGAAUGUAUUUUUUGUUUUUGCGAUCACGCAAUCAAUACAACUUUCAACAACGGAUCUCUUGGCUCUC